Molecule: RNA transcript, 6720 nt
Organism: Crotalus tigris (Tiger rattlesnake)
Lineage: Eukaryota; Metazoa; Chordata; Lepidosauria; Squamata; Viperidae
Gene: VAT1
Gene name: vesicle amine transport 1
Exons: 7
Source: RefSeq, a predicted model, not a curated record
UUGUUUAUUAUUCCACAUUAUCUCCACCCAGCAAUUAGCACUCAGAUCAGCAUAGAUUAGCUCCAAGGUGAACUUCAGACCAGCAGUCAAGUAAGCAAUACAGUCAAGAAACUGCCAAAGAGCCAUUAGCGAACAGCCCAACCUAAGACAGCCCUCACCCACCCAGACAGGCAAGACACCAGAUUAUAAACUGACAGCAAAUAGCCCUCCUUAUUAGCACUGAUGAUGUUACCUAGUUAGGGUAAUGAAAUGUCUGCAAGAAAACAAACAAGCUCAGAGAGCACCAAGGACGCCUCAGAAAAAGAAAUGGUUGUAAUGAUGAAAUUAGGAAAAACAGCAAGAAAAGCAUGUUGAAUAGUGAUACAUUACUACCAUAACAGAGAGGAUUCUGGAAAAUGAGGGAGCGACAGGGAGACUUAAUAUUCUAUGCAUGCUUCCUUGGGAGAAUAAACUAACUGAGCUCAGAAGAAAUGCAUAAAGGAGGGUUGCCAUUUUAUGCGUAUUUGCUUAGAAGUUAGACUCAUUCAACAGAAGGUCUCGUUCCAAAAACACACGCAUUAAAUCUGGUUGUACAUAUGCGAUGCUACGUGCGAUUUUACUUGGGAAUGACUCUGAUAUGCUCAGGGGGACUACAGAAAAAACAAGCAUGUGCUUCACUUUGUUUCUGCUGGGCACACCCAGUACUCUAGUCUCCGCCUCGUUUCUUGAACAAGGAGAGAAUGGGCGUAUUGGAUGGACUGACGAAAAGUCAGGCGGGCAGGUCUUUCUAGGUGGAGCCAUCUAGUCUGCUUUCCAUUCCGCGUUUUUCAACUCAGCAUACUAUAAGUUAGAUCCAGCUCCGGGUUUUGCAGGCUGCCUACAGCUGUUUAGCGCAUCUGGUCAGCCGCGCCUUUCCCCUUCUCCUCCUCUUCCUAGUGUAGGCACACCACAGCUGCUAGUACCCAAGAAGGUGCCAUGUCCGGGGAAGAAGCUGUCGGGGAUGAUGCGGGAGCCCCUCAAACGAGCACUGCUGCUCCUCCCGCAGACCAGCAGCGGAACGAAGAAGCAGUGGCCGAGGCACCAGCGACUGACGGGGAAGGAAAAGCUGCUGGGGGGACGUCGGAGGAGGCGCCUGCCGUUUCUACCAGUACCGCUGCUGCUGGACGCCAGUACAGGGCAUUGGUGCUCACCGGCUUUGGUGGUUACGAGAAAGUGAAGGUGCAGAUUCGGCAGCUGCCUCAAGCGGAACCCAGUCCGGGCGCUGGCCAGGUCUGCGUGCAAGUCCGGGCCUGCGGGCUCAAUUUUGCUGACCUGCUGGCUCGCCAAGGGCUCUACGAGAGGCUUCCCUCGCCGCCCGUUAGCCCUGGCAUGGAGGCGGCGGGAAUCGUCCUGGCCGUGGGCGAGGGCGUCUCCAGCCCAAAGGUUGGUGAUAAGGUAAUGGUGAUGGCCCGGUCAGGUCUCUGGCAAGAAAUUGUGACAGUCCAAGCCAAUCAGACUUUUCUCAUGCCAGAAGGAAUGAGCUUUGAGGAAGCAGCUGCCUUUCUGGUCAAUUACAUCACUGCCUACAUGGUUCUCUUUGACUUUGGCAAUCUGCGCCCCGACCAGAGUGUCCUUGUCCACAUGGCAGCAGGUGGUGUGGGGACUGCAGCAGUCCAACUCUGCAAAACCGUGGAAAAUGUCACCAUUUUUGGCACAGCAUCUUCCUCCAAGCAUGAAGCCCUCAAAGAGAAUGGGGUGACUCACCCUAUUGAUUACCGGGCAGCUGAUUAUGUGGCUGAAGUCCGGAAAAUUUCUCCCAAAGGUGUAGAUGUUGUUUUGGACCCCUUAGGAGGUUCAGAUACCACAAAAGGCUUUCAUCUCCUGAAACCAAUGGGCAAGCUGGUCAGUUAUGGUGUAGCCAACUUGCUAACAGGACAGAGGAAGAACCUGAUGGCUAUGGCAAAGACCUGGUGGAAUCAGUUUAGCAUCAAUGCCUUGCAACUGCUUCAUCUCAACAAAGCAGUUUGUGGCUACCACCUGGGCUACCUUGAGGAGGAAAUGGAGCUUUUAACUGCUGUGGUGACCAAGCUAAUUGCUCUCUACAAUCAGGGCAAAAUCAAACCAAAGGUGGAUUCUGUUUGGCCUUUUGAACAGGUAGUUGAUGCCAUGAAGCAGAUGCAAGAGAAGAAGAAUGUUGGGAAAGUUGUCUUGGUUCCUGAAGUUCCACCGAAGGAUGAAAACAAGAAAACAGAGAAUUAAAGCAAGGGGCAUGGGUGAACUGUUCGACCUCAGGUUGAUUUGGGGAACUUUUUUUUUAACUGCCUCCCCUCCCCCCCCCUACAUCUGACCCUUGAGGGAAGUAGGAAUGGACAGGUCUCUCAAUGCUGUUAAUGGACCAUCAGAAAGCCAUCUACGAAAACGUUGAGACCAUUUCAUUGAGACAAAUAUAUGUGUGUGAGAAUGGAAACCAUCUUUGACAUCCUUUUGGCCCAUCAGCCCUUGAUUGCUCGUAUUAUUUAGGGGGAUCCUCAGCUUACAGGACUAUGUUUAUUUAGCAUGUCUGUUUUGUGAUUAGAACAUUUUCACAAUUCUUGCAUAAUGCUACAGCUUUUCAAUCUUUAGUACUGCAUCUCAUUCCUGAUACGUAAUUGGGGGUACAGGGGACAGAGAUUCAUUUUUUUUUUUAAAAAAAAAGCAUAAAAUGGGACAUCUUACCUUCAAUGUAAUAUAAAUAUUUUCUCUUCCUUCCCAAACAUCCAAUUGCUGAAAGGGUUGCCAUCUUGUUAUUAUGGAAUCAAUAAGAAAAUAUAUUCCAGUAAAGAAGGCUAUUUUAAUAUACCUUGAGAAGGCUAUUUUAAUACACCUUGGCUGUUUUUCUUGUAUAGUCACUGUGGAGAAAAUCUGGCUUGGAAUACCAAACAUCCACUGGAGGGUUCUAAGCAAAAGACGGAAGUUCUGGAAGUGAUUUUUCUUACUGUGGAUCAUUCCUUUUAUUAUUUUGUAUAAAUGUUUUGAGAUUGAUGAGUACAUCAUUUCUAGAGGCUCAAACAAAGGCUACCAAGCAUUUUAAAACAUUAUUUAAUUUGCCAUGUUCUUACUAUGAAAGAUAAUAUAGUACAGGAUACCAAUUAAUUCAUGGGACCCUAGAAUUGGGAAGAACCAAAUAGUUGGUUGUUUCAAGGAAACGAUGCUCAGUGCUAGAGCAUAUGAUUUUUGUGCAGGUAAUUCCAAAUCCAAACCAUGCUAGAUAAAGUUAGGAGAGUGGGGAAGAAUGUUGGCCCAAAAACUUUCAAUGUUUUUUUAAUAGUUUAAUAUAGUGUGAGGCAAAUUCCUAGAACUUCAUACCUUACAGAAGGACAGCUGGUUAGUCAGCCAGCCACUCAUUUAAGUCAAAUGCAACUUUUCCAGUUUGAAGCCCUUCAGAGAUAUUGAACUUCAACUUUCAGCAUUUCCAGUAGAGAGAAUAUCCAGGUUCCAAAUCUGAAGGGCAUUGGGAGGAGAAAAUGCAAAAUCUGAUCUGAUGUGCAGGUGACUCAAUAGAUAUUGGAGACUAAUCUAGAGCAUGAGGCUGUAGCUCUGAUUAUCUGAUGUGGCAUUUCUUCUGCCACUUAUUUUAUACACAACCAUAUACCUUUUGAUAUUUUUAACCAUUUCCCAGGACCUACCAAGGUCCAAUAUUUUAGCUUCUGGUCUUAAGAUUAUAGAUCAGUAGGAGUUUACAGAUCCCAAUUGUAUGAUCAAAAGAGAAAAUGAGUUCCAAAUUUUGUAUGAUCAAAAGAGAAAAUGAGUUCCAAAUUUUGUAUGAUCGAAAGAGAAAAUGAGUUCCAAAUUUUGUUAUUUUAAACACAACAGAGAAAAAAAAGACAUGAUCAGCUGUGGUCUCCCAAGCUCUUACAAAAUAAUGGGGGGAAAGGGUGGGAUGGGGAGAGAAUCUAUUGUAAAACUUCAUGGGUUUAGAUGUUUUUUUUCCCCCAUUCCUUCCUUCUUUGCUGCUGCCUGGUGCCUUAUUUGGGAUCGCAUUCCAAAACAUUUCUAACCUCAUCAUUGUAAAAUUGUAACGAAUAGCUUUGCCUUUAAAGGAACUUAUAUGCUGCAUGGUUAUUCCCAAUUUAUUGUGCCUUGUUCCAAACAGUGAGUAAGGUCUAAUUCAAGAAUUUGCCAAUGUUGACUUGUUAAAAAGGAAUGCCCCAUCCCAAGGAAAUGGUGUGAAAUGUACGGAUGGCUUUUGUUCCUUAAUCAAUGAGGACACCUGCAUAAUAGGAUGUGUUAUUACAGAAAUGCAUACAUUUUGAUGCUAUUAACGGAUACAAUGAAUUCUCCUAGAUACGUUCAACCUUCCUUAUGAGAGCCAUCAGAUAAUUUUUGCAUAAUACUAUGAAAGUAUGGUUUAAAUCUCCUGACCACUAUUUCUGAACCUUAAUGGCUGGAAACUAUUUUUAAAUUGAGUAGACGUAUGGCUUAAUGAACCCCUGUCACAUGAUAAAUAUGGAGAACCUGAAUUCUGUUAAUAGUAUAAUUUGUGGAACUUUCCAUUGGUUGAAACAAAACUAACUCUUUCCUGUAGUGUGCUCCAGUGCCUUUGGGAAGAAAUAGGCCAAAUAUAGCUUUCCAUGUAUUUCCAAAGGCACCACAAAGGAAAAACUUUUUUAACCCGAAGCAGCAGCAAGUGAUAUCCUGUUCCCUUCCUGCAGCCUUGCUCUCUCAUGCUGGAAUCUGACAGUUUUUAAAUGUUCUUCCUGAACAGAAAAGAUCUUUAUCUUUAUGCUAAAGUGGUUGUGUCUUACUACUACUCAGCUGUAGUUCUUUUAUACAGAAAACAUCAAAUUUUAAAGCACUAUAACUAUACUGUUUGUUGCCUUGCUGAUUAAUAUUGUAAUCUUGAACUUUUUAUCAUCUUUUUUAUUUUGCUUGAUUGCGUGUAUGUGUGUGUGCAUGCAUGUAUGUAUUUCAGACUAUGGUUUUAUGGGCCAUUUGUAAUAAUAAAGCCUUUUAAUCUCCUCUCCCCACUUUAAAAUUAAAAUCACUUGUCUUAACUAGUUAAAACAAUGUGCUUACCCUCAGAGUUAAAAAUGUGUGGGGGUGAGAUGAGGGGAUUUUCUUGAAUUGUCCAUAAAACAGAAUACAACGACAACAUUUAUCACAAGAAGCCUUUCUUGAUAGUGUUCUUGCAGAAUUCAAGAUAGCUGGUAGAUAAAACUCCAAAAUGAUGCUGCCUAGAUUGCCAUGUGUAUGGCCGAUAGAGCAGUUUAAUUGAAAAAGUGCCAUAUUUCCUGCUCAAUGAGCAACAUGUAGCCUGAAUAUUAUUGAAGGCCCAAAGAGCAUAUUUUGAAAAGCCUGUUUCCUAGGGCUGAAGUGGUCCUCAGUGGCAUGAACUAACAGCAGCCCUCUUACACAACAGCUCCCACAACUUGAUCUGGCAGUUCAUACCAGCCCACCUUAUUUAGGGAUCUCCUCAAAUAAAGAAGUGAAAGAGGCAAAGGCAAAGCUCCCUCAGGGAAAUGAUUUGCAAUGUGCCAAAGUUAACAUCACAGCUGUCUUUAGAGAGAUAUAAAAAUACUUCUAGAAUGAAUGAAAUCUCUCUCUAAUUUUUGUAAAUGUUCUCAAUUAUAGAUAGCAUAGUAUGUGAUGUUGGUGGGAAAGUCACUCAGAGAUGUCUGUGGAGAUUCUCAGUCGUCCAGGCUAUGGUUGUCCCAAAGGUGCUUUUUUACCCAAAAGACAACUGGACUUUCUUGUUGUUGCUGGGGUUUUUUUUUUUAAAAAUGUUUCACUUCUCAUCUGAGAAACCAAGAAAGUCAGCUUUGGGUCAUAGAGAGAUAAAAUACCCCAGAAUGUAAAACAACAAGCUUUACACUCCUUUUGUAUUGUCUUUGAUUAUCAGGAUGACUGAGUUCAACUGUCCCUCAGAUUUAAACAUUUCAGAAUUCUCAGUUCAGAGGUAAACAAAUUCUUUAAGAUUUGUUUCACUUUUUUUUAGUUAAGUCUCUGAUAUAAAAACAUUUAAAAUAUUUUCUCUUCAUUAUCAUCAAUUAGCUUUUCCUUUUGUUUUUAAAGUGGCAUUUGGCAUUUUGUUAGGCUUGGUUCACCUGUCUGAGAUGGUAUAGGUUCUCCUGCUUGAGCAGGGGGCUGGACUAGAAGACCUCUAAGGUCCCUUCCAGUUUUAUUCUAUUCUAAAAAAAAAAUCCCCAAAAGAGUAUUUAAUCACCACUGGGAGAGAUAUUAGUAAUGAAAGCUAAAGUCAAGGUAAUUGUGGGUCUUUCAAAGGCAGGAGAAGCUCUCCCUUUGUCAAAGCAGGGGUGUUUUUACUUGCAUGAUUGUUUUAGUAUGAUGUAGGCUUGAAUGACAAGCAAUGGAUAUCCUGGCCCUGCAGAGCCAGCUGUGGAAUCACCACUGUUGCCAAAUACAGUAGAUUUCCCCCAAGCUAAGGAGUUACUGAUGAAGAAAGGCUGCUGGCAGUGAGGGCAGGCUGCAUAGUCCCCUAUUACCUGGUGACAGCACCUGCCCACCUCCUCUGCUUUGGGUGGUCCACAAACAGCUUGUGUGUCUUUAUGGUUCAAGAUGCUUUUUCAAGUCUUUAUGGUAUUUGAAAAGAAGUCCUCUUCUGCUUGUGCCUGCUUGUGUGCCUGCGUGUAUGUGUGUAUCAACAAAGCAAAUGUGCCAAUGCUGUUUACAGAUUCAGACAUGAAAUUGUUAAUCUGCCUACUGUUACCAUAUGCCUUAUGUGUUUAUUGGGUGUCUCAUUAAAAGCAUAACAAAAAUGAAAAA